GCCUUGUACACACCGCCCGUCACACCAUGGGAGUGGGUUGCAAAAGAAGUAGGUAGCUUAACCUUCGGGAGGGCGCUUACCACUUUGUGAUUCAUGACUGGGGUGAAGUCGUAACAAGGUAACCGUAGGGGAACCUGCGGUUGGAUCACCUCCUUA
Molecule: ribosomal RNA, 156 nt
Filed under: Citrobacter freundii
Lineage: Bacteria; Pseudomonadati; Pseudomonadota; Gammaproteobacteria; Enterobacterales; Enterobacteriaceae
Also listed under: 6 other names
Description: partial 16S ribosomal RNA
Rfam family: Bacterial small subunit ribosomal RNA
Source: RNAcentral